RNAcentral lists this ribosomal RNA (427 nucleotides) under uncultured Actinomycetes bacterium. Its description in RNAcentral is "bacterial SSU rRNA". It matches the Rfam family "Bacterial small subunit ribosomal RNA", at positions 28 to 459 of the family's 1533-position model. The record is from RNAcentral. Lineage: Bacteria; Bacillati; Actinomycetota; Actinomycetes.
GACGAACGCUGGCGGCGUGCUUAACACAUGCAAGUCGAACGGUAAGGCUCUUCGGAGUACACGAGUGGCGAACGGGUGCGUAACACGUGACCAACCUACCCUUAACAUCGGGAUAACAUUUGGAAACAGAUGCUAAUACCGGAUACGAACUUGGAAGGCAUCUUCUGAGUUGGAAAGCUCCGGCGGUUAGGGAUGGGGUCGCGGCCUAUCAGCUUGUUGGUGAGGUAAUGGCUCACCAAGGCGACGACGGGUAGCCGGCCUGAGAGGGCGACCGGCCACACUGGGACUGAGAUACGGCCCAGACUCCUACGGGAGGCAGCAGUGGGGAAUAUUGCACAAUGGGCGCAAGCCUGAUGCAGCAACGCCGCGUGCGGGAUGACGGCCUUCGGGUUGUAAACCGCUUUCGGCAGGGACGAAGUGAAAAUGA